RNAcentral lists this transfer RNA (84 nucleotides) under Candidatus Pacearchaeota archaeon CG_4_9_14_0_2_um_filter_39_13. RNAcentral describes it as "tRNA-Leu". It matches the Rfam family "tRNA". Rfam says of the family: Transfer RNA (tRNA) molecules are approximately 80 nucleotides in length. Their secondary structure includes four short double-helical elements and three loops (D, anti-codon, and T loops). The record is from RNAcentral. Lineage: Archaea; Nanobdellati. RNAcentral also lists the same sequence under 1 other name.
GCGGGGGUUCCUGAGUGGUCAAAAGGGCAGGACUUAAGAUCCUGUGGCUUAGUGCCUUCGUAGGUUCGAAUCCUACCCCCCGCA